GCAGCUUCAACUUAUAAUACGUGACAAAAAUGUUUGACAGCAUGCUGUGAUGAAUAUAAGGGAUGCUCUCGAAUUGAAUCUCGCUGUCCACCUUGGGGUCUUUACCAGCUCCAAGAUAUAGCAAAGUGACUUCAUAUUGCCUGAAUUAUGUUCCAAAGGACUAUCACAUAUGCCACAGAUGUCCAUCACUCUACUAUGCCCUCUUGAUCAUUUUCUGGUUGUUCCUGAUGAAUGGAAACGAUAGUUUGGUUAAUUUUCAAUGUGAAUUAUGAGCAUAUAUUAGGGAAAGAAUGGAUAGACAAAGCAUUUGACUUUCGGCUCAAACCAAUUGAGCGACCUUUGAGGUUUGCUCUGCUUCCACAAUCACGAAUUAGGCCAAAGAUGUCAGGACUUAAGGCAGAAGAUUUACUUUGAGCUAAUCAGAGAUUUGUUUGAAGGAACACUAAAUAUUUAAUACAAUACAAGCCUUUAAUUUAUCAGUAUUUAGUCGGUAUAUGCUUGCCUUCAUGUACUAAAUGUUCGAUAUGCAAAUUCAUGGUCUCGACCAAGGAGUUUAUCUUGUCCUGUGAACUGCUGCUCUUAUUCUGGUAAAAAAUGCAAGUAAGAAGUUAAUAC
This is a long non-coding RNA of Rhodamnia argentea, 615 nucleotides long. RefSeq lists it as uncharacterized. The transcript is spliced from 2 exons. The record is from RefSeq and is a predicted model, not a curated record. Lineage: Eukaryota; Viridiplantae; Streptophyta; Magnoliopsida; Myrtales; Myrtaceae.